RNAcentral lists this transfer RNA (86 nucleotides) under Ligilactobacillus salivarius CECT 5713. Its description in RNAcentral is "Lactobacillus salivarius CECT 5713 tRNA-Tyr". Lineage: Bacteria; Bacillati; Bacillota; Bacilli; Lactobacillales; Lactobacillaceae. The record is from RNAcentral.
UGGUGGAAGGGAGUGGAUUCGAACCACCGAACCCGAAGGAGCGGAUUUACAGUCCGCCGCGUUUAGCCAGACUUCGCUACCCUUCC